RNAcentral lists this ribosomal RNA (449 nucleotides) under uncultured bacterium. Its description in RNAcentral is "partial 16S ribosomal RNA". It matches the Rfam family "Bacterial small subunit ribosomal RNA", at positions 29 to 523 of the family's 1533-position model. The record is from RNAcentral.
AACGAACGCUGGCGGCAGGCUUAACACAUGCAAGUCGAACGAGAUCUUCGGAUCUAGUGGCAGACGGGUGAGGAACACGUGGGAACAUCCCUUUCAGUUCGGAAUAACGUUGGGAAACUAACGCUAAUACCGGAUACGUCCUUCGGGAGAAAGAUUUAUCGCUGAAAGAUUGGCCCGCGUCUGAUUAGCUAGUUGGUGAGGUAACGGCUCACCAAGGCUACGAUCAGUAGCUGAUCUGAGAGGAUGAUCAGCCACAUUGGGACUGAGACACGGCCCAAACUCCUACGGGAGGCAGCAGUGGGGAAUAUUGGACAAUGGGCGCAAGCCUGAUCUAGCCAUGCCGCGUGAGUGAUGACGGCCUUCGGGUUGUAAAGCUCUUUUGUCCGGGAAGAUAAUGACUGUACCGGAAGAAUAUGCCCCGGCAAACUUCGUGCCAGCAGCCGCUGUAA